This 210-nucleotide non-coding RNA is filed under the name Bacillus sp. ok061. Lineage: Bacteria; Bacillati; Bacillota; Bacilli; Caryophanales; Bacillaceae. The record is from RNAcentral.
GAUAACUGUUCAGACGAGUGGUAGGAAUGAUGGAGUAACGACCUGAAACUACCCCAGUGAGAUUCCCAACUGCAUAUGCUAGGUAUAGUGUGAUGUAGGAAGCAGGGUAAAACAUGCAGUCAAAAUCCGUAGUACCCGACCGGGCAACCGAAAGCCAUUGGGAAUAAUAAACCAAAUGGAACUGAUUAAGUAUUGUAUGCUGUCAACCGA